Molecule: unclassified non-coding RNA, 282 nt
Filed under: Hevea brasiliensis (rubber tree)
Lineage: Eukaryota; Viridiplantae; Streptophyta; Magnoliopsida; Malpighiales; Euphorbiaceae
Source: RNAcentral
GCAGAAGAAAAAUUUGUGGGAAAAUGGUUCAACAAGGGGAAGCAAUUUUGCUUUUCAAAUUCUUAAAGGUUUUAAUGAAGGGAAUUAAAAUUCAGACAAGGCAUUUUGGGAACUAAAUUAUCUGUCACCACAAAGCAUGCAAGAAACAGCAGUAGCUCAGGUGCUUCGCCAUUAGAUAAUGUUACAAUUUUCACAUCCAACAGUUGCAGGGUAAAUAGAUUAGCAUAGUUAAUAGACUACCCUAACACAUAACAGUAUACCACACAUGAAACUUGGGUAACU